Molecule: ribosomal RNA, 460 nt
Filed under: uncultured bacterium
Lineage: Bacteria
Description: partial 16S ribosomal RNA
Rfam family: Bacterial small subunit ribosomal RNA
Source: RNAcentral
CCUACGGGAGGCAGCAGUGAGGAAUAUUGGUCAAUGGCCGGAAGGCUGAACCAGCCAUGCCGCGUGAAGGUCAGUGCCCUAUGGGCGUUAAAAUUCUUUUGUGCGGGAGCAAUAAUGGUCACGUGUGGCCAGACGAGAGUACCGUACGAAUAAGCAUCGGCUAACUCCGUGCCAGCAGCCGCGGUAAUACGGGGGAUGCAAGCGUUAUCCGGAUUUAUUGGGUUUAAAGGGUGCGUAGGCUGUGAGGUAAGUCAGCGGUGAAAUGCCCCCGCUCAACGGGUUGAAGUGCCAUUGAGACUGGCUUGCUGGAAUGAGGAUGCCGUGGGAGGAAUGUGUGGUGUAGCGGUGAAAUGCAUAGAUAUCACACAGAACACCGAUUGCGAAGGCAUAUCACGAAUCCGCGAUUGACGCUGAUACACGAAAGCGUGGGGAUCAAACAGGAUUAGAUACCCUGGUAGUC